Molecule: transfer RNA, 73 nt
Filed under: Segatella buccae
Lineage: Bacteria; Pseudomonadati; Bacteroidota; Bacteroidia; Bacteroidales; Prevotellaceae
Description: Prevotella buccae tRNA-Pyl(cta)
Rfam family: tRNA
About the family: Transfer RNA (tRNA) molecules are approximately 80 nucleotides in length. Their secondary structure includes four short double-helical elements and three loops (D, anti-codon, and T loops). Further hydrogen bonds mediate the characteristic L-shaped molecular structure. tRNAs have two regions of fundamental functional importance: the anti-codon, which is responsible for specific mRNA codon recognition, and the 3' end, to which the tRNAs corresponding amino acid is attached (by aminoacyl-tRNA synthetases). tRNAs cope with the degeneracy of the genetic code in two manners: having more than one tRNA (with a specific anti-codon) for a particular amino acid; and 'wobble' base-pairing, i.e. permitting non-standard base-pairing at the 3rd anti-codon position.
Source: RNAcentral
UGGCGUAUCGUAUAAUGGCAAUUACUUUCGGCUCUAACCCGAAAAAUCACCGUUCGAAUCGGUGUGCGCUGAC